UACGUAGGGGGCAAGCGUUGUCCGGAAUUACUGGGCGUAAAGCGCACGUAGGCGGCUUUUUAAGUCAGGGGUGAAAUCCUGGAGCUCAACUCCAGAACUGCCUUUGAUACUGAGAAGCUUGAGUCCGGGAGAGGUGAGUGGAACUGCGAGUGUAGAGGUGAAAUUCGUAGAUAUUCGCAAGAACACCAGUGGCGAAGGCGGCUCACUGGCCCGGUACUGACGCUGAGGUGCGAAAGCGUGGGGAGCAAACAGG
RNAcentral lists this ribosomal RNA (253 nucleotides) under uncultured bacterium. RNAcentral describes it as "partial 16S ribosomal RNA". It matches the Rfam family "Bacterial small subunit ribosomal RNA", at positions 524 to 776 of the family's 1533-position model. The record is from RNAcentral.